Cavia porcellus (domestic guinea pig) is the source of this 71-nucleotide transfer RNA. It matches the Rfam family "tRNA". Rfam says of the family: Transfer RNA (tRNA) molecules are approximately 80 nucleotides in length. Their secondary structure includes four short double-helical elements and three loops (D, anti-codon, and T loops). The record is from Rfam. NCBI's taxonomy places the organism in Eukaryota, Metazoa, Chordata, Mammalia, Rodentia, Caviidae.
GGGGAUUUAGCUCAGCGGCAUAAGCGCCUGCCUUGCAAGCAGGCAGUCGUGAGUUCGAUUCCCAGUACCGA